GCUUACGACCACACGGCCUGAGUACGCUGAUCUCGUCUGAUCUCGGAAGCUAAGCAGGGUCGGGCCUGGUUAGUACUGGAUGGGAGACCGCCUGGGAAUAACAGGUGCUGUAAGCU
Molecule: ribosomal RNA, 116 nt
Filed under: Oncorhynchus kisutch (coho salmon)
Lineage: Eukaryota; Metazoa; Chordata; Actinopteri; Salmoniformes; Salmonidae
Source: RNAcentral